CUAUGGAGAAUCGUCUUCUGCAAUGAAGACAUUCAAAUCUUAAAUCUAGCCGGUCGGUUAGUUGCUCACUCGUUGCUCAGUUUUGAGAGUUCAAACUCUCAAAA
RNAcentral lists this unclassified non-coding RNA (104 nucleotides) under Paenibacillus abekawaensis. Its description in RNAcentral is "partial miscellaneous RNA". Lineage: Bacteria; Bacillati; Bacillota; Bacilli; Caryophanales; Paenibacillaceae. The record is from RNAcentral.